This is a long non-coding RNA of Siniperca chuatsi (mandarin fish), 338 nucleotides long. RefSeq lists it as uncharacterized. NCBI's taxonomy places the organism in Eukaryota, Metazoa, Chordata, Actinopteri, Centrarchiformes, Sinipercidae. The transcript has 2 exons. The record is from RefSeq and is a predicted model, not a curated record.
GGUGAAUCCUCAGCAGGCUGCUGCUCGGACGCUUUAGGAGGAUCUGACAGAGAGAGUUUCUCCAGAGACACCGGACUCUCCUCACUGCAGGACACAGACAAACAGGAAGCUCACAGUUACUAGAGUGGACUGGUCAACAGAGGAGGAUUUACCACUCAGCAUCUGAGAGCGAGGCGAGGCAGCUCUGCUAAAAGAUGCAAACCUUUUGAGGUCAGCUGUCUUGUUGACGGGGGCGGCAACUGUUUCCGAGGCGAUGGCUGCGACGGGAGGAGCACCAGCAUUUUUGUCAUCCUCCUCGCUGUCGGAUCCCCCAGAGGAGCUGCUGUCUGAGGCCACGA